This is a non-coding RNA of Podarcis lilfordi (Lilford's wall lizard), 126 nucleotides long. The record is from the annotation of a GenBank genome assembly. Lineage: Eukaryota; Metazoa; Chordata; Lepidosauria; Squamata; Lacertidae.
AGUGAUGGCCAAACUCGGCCCUCCAGCUGUUUUGGGACUAUAAUUCCCAUCAUCCCUGGCCUGUUAGCUAGGGAUGAUGGGAGUUGUAGUCCCAAAACAGCUGGAGGGCCAAGUUUGGCCAUCACU